GAGUACUGUAGAGGGGGGUAGAAUUUCAGGUGUAGCGGUGAAAUGCGUAGAGAUCUGAAGGAAUACCGGUGGCGAAGGCGGCCCCCUGGACAGAUACUGACACUCAGAUGCGAAAGCGUGGGGAGCAAACAGGAUUAGAUACCCUGGUAGUCCACGCCGUAAACGAUGUCUACUUGGAGGUUGUGGCCUUGAGCCGUGGCUUUCGGAGCUAACGCGUUAAGUAGACCGCCUGGGGAGUACGGUCGCAAGAUUAAAACUCAAAUGAAUUGACGGGGGCCCGCACAAGCGGUGGAGCAUGUGGUUUAAUUCGAUGCAACGCGAAGAACCUUACCUACUCUUGACAUCCAGAGAACUUUCCAGAGAUGGAUUGGUGCCUUCGGGAACUCUGAGACAGGUGCUGCAUGGCUGUCGUCAGCUCGUGUUGUGAAAUGUUGGGUUAAGUCCCGCAACGAGCGCAACCCUUAUCCUUGUUUGCCAGCGAGUAAUGUCGGGAACUCCAGGGAGACUGCC
Molecule: ribosomal RNA, 510 nt
Filed under: Vibrio parahaemolyticus
Lineage: Bacteria; Pseudomonadati; Pseudomonadota; Gammaproteobacteria; Vibrionales; Vibrionaceae
Description: bacterial SSU rRNA
Rfam family: Bacterial small subunit ribosomal RNA
Source: RNAcentral